RNAcentral lists this ribosomal RNA (425 nucleotides) under uncultured bacterium. RNAcentral's name for it is "partial 16S ribosomal RNA". It matches the Rfam family "Bacterial small subunit ribosomal RNA", at positions 354 to 796 of the family's 1533-position model. The record is from RNAcentral.
GUGAGGAAUUUUGCGCAAUGGGGGCAACCCUGACGCAGCGACGCCGCGUGGAGGACGAAGUCUUUCGGGAUGUAAACUCCUGUCAGUGGGGACGAUAAUGACGGUACCCACAGAGGAAGCACCGGCUAACUCCGUGCCAGCAGCCGCGGUAAGACGGAGGGUGCAAGCGUUGUUCGGAAUUACUGGGCGUAAAGCGUAUGUAGGCGGCAAGUUAAGUUCAAUGUUAAAGCCGACGGCUCAACCGAGGAGAUGCAUUUAAUACUGGCUAGCUAGAGGGUGUUAGAGGAAGACGGAAUUCCCAGUGUAGCGGUGAAAUGCGUAGAUAUUGGGAGGAACAUCGGUAGCGAAAGCGGUCUUCUGGGACAUACCUGACGCUGAGGUACGAAAGCGUGGGGAGCAAACGGGAUUAGAUACCCGAGUAGUCC